Non-coding RNA from Pelobates cultripes (western spadefoot toad), 2581 nucleotides. Lineage: Eukaryota; Metazoa; Chordata; Amphibia; Anura; Pelobatidae. The record is from the annotation of a GenBank genome assembly.
GUUAGAUGGCUGCCCAUGUCUAUGUGCACUCUGGAAGACAAUGCUCUGUGCUGGGCUCUAUGCAAAACUUGCUCACCACACAGAUUGGUUCCUAUUUCCUGCUCUGUCUGCUAUACAGAACACAUUCCUGGGCACGAGGUUGGCACCUGUGACAAGCUGAGAACAAGGAAGGAUAUACAGGCACGUGUUAACUACUUCACCCUGCAGAGCAAUGUGCCAGCUUGUCAGCUCUGGGAAACGAAACGUGCCGCGGUCCGCAAUGACCACUGAAAAGAAAGACAGGAUGAAUGCAAGCUCUUUGAAACAGGUAACAGUCUUAUUGUCACACUCUGCAUUCAUACUGUUCCUCCACAGGACAAAUGGACUAAUUUUAGGAAUAGAGGAUUUGAAAUCUAACCCAUGGCUCCCCACCCUUCACAUAGCUUAAAUUAACAAUAAGGACUUAGUCGUUUGAUAAAUAUAUUAUUAUAUAUUGCUUGCGUGUGUGUAGAAAUACCAAAUGGCUACUUAGACCUUGACAUUCUCUCAGGAUUAUUCACUAAUCCCAGAAAUGCAUAUUAAAAUCUGACAUGCAAAAUUUAUGUAAAAAACGGCUGAUUUGGAAAAUUGUCACAACUUUGCUAUUUUAGCCUCCAUUUUGAAGUUCAAUUCACUGCAAAUUGUGAGUUUAGUGAAUAAAUGCUUCAAUUUAAAAAAAACCCAGAAUGUUUCAUGUGUAUUCCUGAACUCUUCCACUGAAUACAUUUCUACCAGUCCUGCUCAACAGCUAUCCUAUGUUUGUACAUUCCUUCCGGUAAAAAGGUAUUUAGUUUUCUUAUCGGUAGAUGUUCUUCCUUGUAUGAAACUACUCACACCCACUUUUUCUAAUGAGUGACAGCUAUCUAUGACAAACUGUUGAAUCUCUGCCAUGGUUGAGUGCAGGAUUAAGUACAUCAGGUAUUUGCACAGUACAUUCUGAUUGAGAAUAUCCACUUUUCCACCUAACUAAACUUCUGUGUGGGAGGAAUUCUGUACAAAGAAUGAACAUACUCAUGUAGGGCAAAAACUUUAUUGCUCGGGCUCUAGGGUGAGGCAGUUCCAAUGCUCAGGACACUUGGUAUUAGAAAUACACGUUGAAAGGAGGAAAUUAAGAUGAUCUUCUCAUGAAGAAAGCAACACAAGGGGAAUUUCUCACUACCAAAAUCAACUAUUUUCUUCUAAAAUCUACAUUCAUGACUGAGUUAGCAGAAUGUUGCUUUGUGCGGCGCUGUUUAGCAGGAGUUUCUCAUUUCCAUUCCUUAUCAGUGGCUACUACGCUCCAUAAAACAGCAUCGCCUGUGUGAACAUGGCUUGCAAUAGAAUUUGCAAACUAAAAGAAACUCAUUGCUUGCAUAUUUAAAGGGACACUAUAGUUACCAGAACAACUACAACUUAAUGAGAAAAGGCAGUGUUUACAUUGCUGCCUAUGAACACCUCUAGAGUCACUAGAGGUGCUUCCUGGGUCAGUGCUGAACACUCCUCUAUAAAAGGAGUGUUCAGCACUGAACCCUGAACUUCAUGUGCAGCAUUGACCCAGGAAGCACCUCUAGUGGCUCUGUGUUGAUUCAAUGCAUCUCUAUGAGGGGAUGCUGAUUGGCACAGUGCAGUGUUUUGAUGUGCAUGCACAGUAGCCUACGAUGCUUUCCUAUGGGAAAGUAUUGGAUUUGCUAAGAUCAUCAAAUUUAAGGAGGCGGAGCUAAGUCGGGCCCAGCGAUGAGUAGACCCAUGCAGCUCUGGGGAAAAAGGUGAGUAAAUCACCUUUUAAACGGGGGUAAGGGGAGGCCAGGGAGCUAAAUGGUGCAUUUAGACCUAUAGAUGGCGCUAUAUAAAUAAUACAAUAAUAAUAAUAGUGUCAGGGCACAUUUGUAUUCUGGAAACUAUAGUAUUCCCUUAAUGUACCCUGACAAAAUAGCGUACUGUGUUAAAGCCAGGAAUCUGAACUCUUCUGAAACACCAAUCCAUGGUGCCAAUCCAGCCCCGAGGCUGGCUGGCUAGCUAGUUUGACAAAGACCUCAUCUGGUGGUCGAAACGUUUCUGCUGUUUGCUAUAUGCACUAAUCUUCAUUAAACCUGCCGUUUAAUCGGCCUUAGUUCUGCUAUUCUGGAUCGAUAAAAUAGGGCAUGUUAACCAAAUCAAUAUUAAAAUUUAAUUGAGAUAAAUAAUUCAACCCCUACAAAAAAGGGGCAACAUCUUACAAAAUUUUCUGUCAAUAUAAAUUACUAGGACAGUCUAAGCAGCAUAACCACUAUAUCUUAUUGUAGUGAUGAUGGUGCAAUGUGUGUUUGAUUAUAGGUCCUUGUUUUUGUAGUGUUUGGACAUAAAAAGCACCAAAUGCUCUGGGCUCUCUGCUGCCGGUAAGAUCACUUCUUCGUUAUCUGUACAUAAUUGGACACAAUUGAUAAUUUAAGGAUAAACAAAGACCCAGAGACUGCAGCCUGUCAUUGCCAUAUAAUUCUGAACAAAUACAUUAUGGUUAUCCUAUUCUGUUCCCUUAAUUGCACUUGUUUGAUACUGUGAAUAGAGCAUGGUUUGUUUGUUUUGUUAUUUUCAGGAAACCUUUGAC